AGAGCCGGGUAUUGAGCGGUCCGGGUCUCUGCUGCUCAAAGUAAAGACCGUUUGAGAAGGCGGGGAGAGAUCGAAGAAGCUGCUUUAUCUUACAGUCACCCAAGGGGGAACGCCUUCUUCCUUCCCAGAGUGGAGUGGCAGUGGGUCCAGGAUUCUGGGAUAUGCACAGGGUCUGCGCCCUGCGCCCUGUCCGCGCUGAAGCUGGACUUGUCAUUGGUUUGCAACAGCAUGGUGAAGAAGUGUGGUGUGGAUGGAUGGACGGGCCUCUCAGGCACAGGAAAUACUCAAAAGCCCAGUAUUAACCAAACAUGUUUCUCUGUUUUGUCUUUGAUCUUUGUGCAGUGUGUUGGCUUUUUUCCUUUAACGAUGUCACUUGCAUUUUAUUUUUGGUUUAUUUGUAGACUGUCUCCCUCCUUGGCCAUGGCUUUACUUUUAUGUCCACCCAAGGAGAGUUUCACCAGUUUAGGUUUAAGAAAUUACUGACAAGUUAACAAUAAUAAUUUCAAAAUUGAACAAUAAUAACUUAAACCGUGCCUUGGACAUAGUAGAUCUCCAACAGUGUUUCUUGAAUGUGGCUACCUAAUGUGGAACAAGAUUUUUCAUAAUUACAUGUUGCUAUUUUUAAUACUUUUUGGGAGGUUCUUUAGUCCCCCCCCCCCCACGUUGCACAAACAGACUGGUCUACAAGGGGUCCUGUUGGUUUUCUGGUUUUGUGGGGUCCUGGAAUAUUGUUUGGGCUUAUUGAGAGUUAACAAGGAUGUAUUUUGUGAGUUUCUCCAAACUCUUAUUUUGAGUAAUAGUAUUUCAAAGCAAGAAGUGUUUUAGAGAAAACAUUCUGCCUCUUGUUUAACAGGUGAGGAAACUGAGGAAAAAUCAGCUUACCUGGCAAAUCAACCACAAGUGCAGAUAGUUCCACAAUGACUCAAUGGAUAUUACUUCAACUUUGUUCCCUCAAGAACCUUUUGUGAUUAAGCUUGUUGAUUUGUGGCUUGAUGGUUUACAGGAAUGGCCAUUUUUAAUAUCUAGGACCCUGCUUGCUUGCUUGCUUACUAGACUGGCUGCAUAGUCGUCUUCCACGUGUAAACAAUAGUGUGUGCUUUAGUGGAUAAGAGAUGUUGAGUGCUGAGAUUGCAGGGCUCAGCACUUAGACCUAGAGCAUUUUUAUUUAUACUAAAUUAAUGCCAUGGUAACAUAAGUUAGAGAGCAAGUGAAUAUGGCAUCAAAUGUACAAAGUUGAGUAUCUCUUUACUAGUCAAUGUAUAAGGAAUUUAUUUACCCAAGCAAUUAUUUUAAAAACAGCAUUACAAGUGGUAUGUAAACAUUUCCAGAAUUUAUUUCCACAUCUGCUCUUUCAGUGGCAUCAUCCAUUCCUGAGCUCAAGAAAAGGCCUCUGCCAACCCCCAGUAAUCCUGCUUUUUUAGUAAUCCUACUUUUUUUUUUUUUUUAACUUUAAGUUCUGGGAUACAUGUGCAGAACGUGCAGGUUUGUUACAUAGGUAUACAUAUGCCAUGGUGGUUUACUGCACCUAUCAACCCGUCAUCUAGGUUUUAAGCCCUGCAUUGAUUAGGUAUUUGUCCUAAUUCUCUCCCUCCCCUUUCUGCCACCCCCCGACAGGCCCCAGUAUGUGAUAUUACCCUCCCUGUGUCCAUGUGUUCUCAUUGUUCAACUCCCACUUAUGAGUGAGAACAUGCAGAGUUUGGUUUUCUGUUGUGUUACUUUGCUUAGAAUGAUGGCUUCCAGCUUCAUCCAUGUCCCUGCAAAUGACAAGAACUCAUUCUUUUUAUGGCUGCAUAGUAUUCCAUGGUAUAUAUGUGCCACAUUGUCUUUAUCCAGUCUAUCAUCAAUGGCAUUUGGGUUGGUUCCAAGUCUUUGCUAUUGUAAAUAGCACUGCAGUAAACAUACAUGUGCAUGUGU
RNAcentral lists this long non-coding RNA (1914 nucleotides) under Pongo abelii (Sumatran orangutan). RNAcentral describes it as "lincRNA". The record is from RNAcentral. Lineage: Eukaryota; Metazoa; Chordata; Mammalia; Primates; Hominidae.